RNAcentral lists this ribosomal RNA (252 nucleotides) under uncultured bacterium. RNAcentral's name for it is "partial 16S ribosomal RNA". It matches the Rfam family "Bacterial small subunit ribosomal RNA", at positions 524 to 776 of the family's 1533-position model. The record is from RNAcentral.
UACGUAGGUCCCGAGCGUUGUCCGGAUUUAUUGGGCGUGAAGCGAGCGCAGGUGGUUUAUUAAGUCUGGUGUAAAAGGCAGUGGCUCAACCAUUGUAUGCAUUGGAAACUGGUAGACUUGAGUGCAGGAGAGGAGAGUGGAAUUCCAUGUGUAGCGGUGAAAUGCGUAGAUAUAAGGAAGAACACCAGUGGCGAAGGCGGAUGACUGGACGGCAACUGACGGUGAGGCGCGAAAGCGUGGGGAGCAAACAGG